This 73-nucleotide transfer RNA is filed under the name Alloiococcus otitis. RNAcentral describes it as "tRNA-Trp". It matches the Rfam family "tRNA". Rfam says of the family: Transfer RNA (tRNA) molecules are approximately 80 nucleotides in length. Their secondary structure includes four short double-helical elements and three loops (D, anti-codon, and T loops). Lineage: Bacteria; Bacillati; Bacillota; Bacilli; Lactobacillales; Carnobacteriaceae. The record is from RNAcentral.
UAGGGGUAUAGUUUAAUGGUAAAACAGCGGUCUCCAAAACCACUGAUGUGGGUUCAAUUCCUGCUACCCCUGU